RNAcentral lists this ribosomal RNA (699 nucleotides) under uncultured Streptococcaceae bacterium. Its description in RNAcentral is "bacterial SSU rRNA". It matches the Rfam family "Bacterial small subunit ribosomal RNA", at positions 60 to 741 of the family's 1533-position model. The record is from RNAcentral. Lineage: Bacteria; Bacillati; Bacillota; Bacilli; Lactobacillales; Streptococcaceae.
AGUAGAACGCUGAGAACUGGUGCUUGCACCGGUUCAAGGAGUUGCGAACGGGUGAGUAACGCGUAGGUAACCUACCUCAUAGCGGGGGAUAACUAUUGGAAACGAUAGCUAAUACCGCAUAAGAGAGACUAACGCAUGUUAGUAAUUUAAAAGGGGCAAUUGCUCCACUAUGAGAUGGACCUGCGUUGUAUUAGCUAGUUGGUGAGGUAAAGGCUCACCAAGGCGACGAUACAUAGCCGACCUGAGAGGGUGAUCGGCCACACUGGGACUGAGACACGGCCCAGACUCCUACGGGAGGCAGCAGUAGGGAAUCUUCGGCAAUGGGGGCUAACCCUGACCGAGCAACGCCGCGUGAGUGAAGAAGGUUUUCGGAUCGUAAAGCUCUGUUGUUAGAGAAGAAUGAUGGUGGGAGUGGAAAAUCCACCAAGUGACGGUAACUAACCAGAAAGGGACGGCUAACUACGUGCCAGCAGCCGCGGUAAUACGUAGGUCCCGAGCGUUGUCCGGAUUUAUUGGGCGUAAAGCGAGCGCAGGCGGUUUUUUAAGUCUGAAGUUAAAGGCAUUGGCUCAACCAAUGUACGCUUUGGAAACUGGAAAACUUGAGUGCAGAAGAGGAAAGUGGAAUUCCAUGUGUAGCGGUGAAAUGCGCAGAGAUAUGGAGGAACACCAGUGGCGAAGGCGACUUUCUGGUCUGUAACU